This is a long non-coding RNA of Columba livia (rock pigeon), 513 nucleotides long. RefSeq lists it as uncharacterized. The transcript has 3 exons. The record is from RefSeq and is a predicted model, not a curated record. NCBI's taxonomy places the organism in Eukaryota, Metazoa, Chordata, Aves, Columbiformes, Columbidae.
GGCCUUGAUGUUUAGGCUUUGGGGUGUAUUUUUGCAUGUGUUUGUUUUUUUAAAAAGCUGUUUGGGCUUUCUAAGUAGCCCCCAGUUAAGGAACUACUACUAAUCUCCAGAAGUUUCCAGCUGCAGUAGCGUGCAAGGUGGGAAAUGGCAGGGAAAUAAGUACUUCAGGAACAUGCGUGCUGAGAGCAGCCCUUGUUUGGAUCAUGGUUGCCCUCGCUGGGAAUCGUUCCAACCCAAAUGAUAACACAGGUGGCUGGCAAGGCUUGAAUGGUAUCUGCAAGUGAAGGUCAUCUCAUCCAUCAAUAGGUACCUGAUACCUGCUGGGCCUCAGAAUGAUCUUACACAAUCCGGUUUCCUGCUCCAGUGGUGCUUUUGAGUCUCAGAGGCUUCUACCUGCCGAACUCCACACCGCCAGCCUUGCGUGGUCUGUCCCCACUGCAGACUGUCUGCAUCUUGUUGUGUACGUGACCCAGCAAAACCCGGGUCCAGCUCGGAGUCAGUGUACAAUAAAAU